CAGUCGCCGCGGUAACACGAAGGGGGCUAGCGUUGUUCGGAAUUACUGGGCGUAAAGGGCGCGUAGGCGGCCAUUCAAGUUAGAUGUGAAAGCCCUGGGCUCAGCCUAGGAAUUGCAUUUGAUACUGUUUGGCUUGAGUUCGGGUGAGGUGAGUGGAAUUCCCAGUGUAGAGGUGAAAUUCGUAGAUAUUGGGAAGAACACCAGUGGCGAAGGCGGCUCACUGGACCGACACUGACGCUGAGGCGCGAAAGCGUGGGGAGCAAACAGGAUUAGAGACCCCUGUAGUCCCUGUCUCUUAUAC
Molecule: ribosomal RNA, 301 nt
Filed under: uncultured bacterium
Lineage: Bacteria
Description: partial 16S ribosomal RNA
Rfam family: Bacterial small subunit ribosomal RNA
Source: RNAcentral